UACGGAAGGCAGCAGUAGGGAAUAUUGGGCAAUGGGCGAGAGCCUGACCCAGCCAUGCCGCGUGCAGGAAGAAGGCUUUCUGAGUCGUAAACUGCUUUUGACAGGGAAGAAUAAGGUGUACGUGUACACUGAUGACGGUACCUGCAGAAUAAGCACCGGCUAACUCCGUGCCAGCAGCCGCGGUAAUACGGAGGGUGCGAGCGUUGUCCGGAUUUAUUGGGUUUUAAAGGGUGCGUAGGCGGCUUUUUUAAGUCUGGGGUGAAAGCCCGCUGCUCAACAGCGGAACUGCCCUGGAUACUGGAGAGCUUGAGUACAGACGAGGUUGGCGGAAUGGACUGAGUAGCGGUGAAAUGCAUAGAUACAGUCCAGAACCCGAUUGCGAAGGCAGCUGACUAGGCUGUUACUGACGCUGAGGCACGAAAGCGUGGGGAGCGGAACAGGAAUUAAGGAUACC
RNAcentral lists this ribosomal RNA (454 nucleotides) under uncultured bacterium. RNAcentral describes it as "bacterial SSU rRNA". It matches the Rfam family "Bacterial small subunit ribosomal RNA", at positions 340 to 786 of the family's 1533-position model. The record is from RNAcentral.